Long non-coding RNA from Hemiscyllium ocellatum (epaulette shark), 661 nucleotides. RefSeq lists it as uncharacterized. The transcript is spliced from 3 exons. The record is from RefSeq and is a predicted model, not a curated record. NCBI's taxonomy places the organism in Eukaryota, Metazoa, Chordata, Chondrichthyes, Orectolobiformes, Hemiscylliidae.
GACCUUUAAGUAUUGCCUUGGUGGUCGGGGACAUACAAGAAGUACAGGGAAUUGGCAACAUAUAAAAUAAAGUAUUUAAUUGGCUAGAUUAAUCUGACGAGUAAGGUGUCUACCUGAUUCAACCACCCAGCCUUAGACCGGUUGUUAAGAGGGGAAAUCCCCCAUGCGAAGUACACUUUGUAACUAACUUAUAGCCAGACAUCCAGAAAAAUAUUCAAAAGCUAGAGGAGUCGUUGCGGGAAGCUCAAAGUGUUUGUGAGAAAAACAUGAGCACAACCUGAGAAAGAAGAGAGAAAUAAGAUGCAAGACUCGAGAGGUCUCUGAAGGAGACCAUCUGUUGUGGACACUACUCCCAAACUACGAUGCUGCAAGGGCAGGGGUAGAAAUACAGAAACUGGCGGCUGCUCUUGAGAAGUUAAUUAAUGAUACCAUCAACGCACUGGGAGAAACUCAGUCCCAAAUAUCGGCCGUAACCACCGAAAUGAUUGUAAAGCUGUUAGUCUUGUAGCAGAAUCGAAUGGCUGUGGACUAUCUCUUGGCUGAAAAAGGGGGAAACCUAUUCUCUGAUUGUAGGAAGCGGGGCUCAGGCCGUUCAGCCCAUCGAGGCAGUGCCCGCCCCGCCCCCCCGGAUCACGUGCUGACCUGAUGACCUUCCCUUUGU